GAUGAACGCUGGCGGCGUGCCUAAUACAUGCAAGUCGAGCGAACGGACGAGAAGCUUGCUUCUCUGAUGUUAGCGGCGGACGGGUGAGUAACACGUGGAUAACCUACCUAUAAGACUGGGAUAACUUCGGGAAACCGGAGCUAAUACCGGAUAAUAUUUUGAACCGCAUGGUUCAAAAGUGAAAGACGGUCUUGCUGUCACUUAUAGAUGGAUCCGCGCUGCAUUAGCUAGUUGGUAAGGUAACGGCUUACCAAGGCAACGAUGCAUAGCCGACCUGAGAGGGUGAUCGGCCACACUGGAACUGAGACACGGUCCAGACUCCUACGGGAGGCAGCAGUAGGGAAUCUUCCGCAAUGGGCGAAAGCCUGACGGAGCAACGCCGCGUGAGUGAUGAAGGUCUUCGGAUCGUAAAACUCUGUUAUUAGGGAAGAACAUAUGUGUAAGUAACUGUGCACAUCUUGACGGUACCUAAUCAGAAAGCCACGGCUAACUACGUGCCAGCAGCCGCGGUAAUACGUAGGUGGCAAGCGUUAUCCGGAAUUAUUGGGCGUAAAGCGCGCGUAGGCGGUUUUUUAAGUCUGAUGUGAAAGCCCACGGCUCAACCGUGGAGGGUCAUUGGAAACUGGAAAACUUGAGUGCAGAAGAGGAAAGUGGAAUUCCAUGUGUAGCGGUGAAAUGCGCAGAGAUAUGGAGGAACACCAGUGGCGAAGGCGACUUUCUGGUCUGUAACUGACGCUGAUGUGCGAAAGCGUGGGGAUCAAACAGGAUUAGAUACCCUGGUAGUCCACGCCGUAAACGAUGAGUGCUAAGUGUUAGGGGGUUUCCGCCCCUUAGUGCUGCAGCAAACGCAUUAAGCACUCCGCCUGGGGAGUACGACCGCAAGGUUGAAACUCAAAGGAAUUGACGGGGACCCGCACAAGCGGUGGAGCAUGUGGUUUAAUUCGAAGCAACGCGAAGAACCUUACCAAAUCUUGACAUCCUUUGACAACUCUAGAGAUAGAGCCUUCCCCUUCGGGGGACAAAGUGACAGGUGGUGCAUGGUUGUCGUCAGCUCGUGUCGUGAGAUGUUGGGUUAAGUCCCGCAACGAGCGCAACCCUUAAGCUUAGUUGCCAUCAUUAAGUUGGGCACUCUAAGUUGACUGCCGGUGACAAACCGGAGGAAGGUGGGGAUGACGUCAAAUCAUCAUGCCCCCUAUGAUUUGGGCUACACACGUGCUACAAUGGACAAUACAAAGGGCAGCGAAACCGCGAGGUCAAGCAAAUCCCAUAAAGUUGUUCUCAGUUCGGAUUGUAGUCUGCAACUCGACUACAUGAAGCUGGAAUCGCUAGUAAUCGUAGAUCAGCAUGCUACGGUGAAUACGUUCCCGGGUCU
Molecule: ribosomal RNA, 1372 nt
Filed under: uncultured bacterium
Lineage: Bacteria
Description: bacterial SSU rRNA
Rfam family: Bacterial small subunit ribosomal RNA
Source: RNAcentral